CCCUUAGAUGUCCUGGGCCGCACGCGCGCUACACUGAGUGUCUGAGAUACGAGUCUGCCUGGUCCGGCAAGGUCUAGGUAAUCGCUAAAAGACACAUCAUGCUUGGGAUAGAUUAUUGCAAAUAUUAAUCUUGAACGAGGAAUUCCUAGUAAGCGCAAGUCAACAGCUUGCGUUGAUUACGUCCCUGCCCUUUGUACACACCGCCCGUCGCUACUACCGAUCGGAUGGUUUAGUGAGACCCUCGGACUGGUCCCGUCGAAGCAGGCGACUGCCUCGACGCGCGCGCCGGGAAGAAGGUCGAACUUGACUAUCUAGAGGAAGUAAAAGUCGUAACA
RNAcentral lists this ribosomal RNA (335 nucleotides) under uncultured eukaryote. RNAcentral describes it as "partial 18S ribosomal RNA". It matches the Rfam family "Eukaryotic small subunit ribosomal RNA", at positions 1470 to 1796 of the family's 1831-position model. The record is from RNAcentral.